RNAcentral lists this ribosomal RNA (777 nucleotides) under uncultured Neocallimastigales. RNAcentral's name for it is "partial large subunit ribosomal RNA". It matches the Rfam family "Eukaryotic large subunit ribosomal RNA", at positions 20 to 619 of the family's 3401-position model. The record is from RNAcentral. Lineage: Eukaryota; Fungi; Neocallimastigomycota; Neocallimastigomycetes; Neocallimastigales.
UACUAGAGUAGCACUCGCAUAUCAAUAAGCGGAGGAAAAGAAACUAACAAGGAUUCCCCUAGUAACGGCGAGUGAAGCGGGAAGAGCUCAAAUUUGAAAUCUUAAAGGGUUUCCCUUUACGAAUUGUAGUUUAAAGAAGUGUUUUCUGUUGAGGUUUUGGUAAAAGUUCUUUGGAAUAGGACAUCAUAGAGGGUGAGAAUCCCGUAUUUGACCUUUACUUUCAACUUUGUGAUACACUUUCAAAGAGUCGGAUUGUUUGGGAAUGCAGUCCAAAAUGGGUGGUAAAUUUCAUCUAAAGCUAAAUAUUGGCGAGGAGACCGAUAGCGAACAAGUACCGUGAGGGAAAGAUGAAAAGAACUUUGAAAAGAGAGUUAAACAGUACGUGAAAUUGUCAAAAGGGAAGCGUUUGACACCAGUGUUGUUUUUCUGAAAAUCAAUUAAAGAACUGUUUAUGCUAAGUUGUUUAGACCUUAUCAGCUAACUGUUUAGUUUUGAGCUUUUCUUUAAUGCACUUUUCAGUUAACAAGUCAACAUCAAUUUCUUUUGCUGUAAAAGAAGCUUGAGGAAGGUGGCUUGAGAUUCGUCUUAAGUGUUUAUAGCCUCUUGCCUAUGCAGUCGGAGAGAUUGAGGUCUGCAGCGUAGAUCCUUCGGGGCUAAAUGCAUUUGUGCUAAGUUAUAGCAUUUUAUAGACAACUUGUUGACUAUGAUUUGUCUUGUAGCUUACUCGCUUAUGUUAUUUUACCUACGCUUAGGAUGUUGAGCGCAUGUCUCUCUCUA